RNAcentral lists this ribosomal RNA (423 nucleotides) under uncultured microorganism. RNAcentral's name for it is "bacterial SSU rRNA". It matches the Rfam family "Bacterial small subunit ribosomal RNA", at positions 9 to 429 of the family's 1533-position model. The record is from RNAcentral.
GAGUUUGAUCGUGGCUCAGAUUGAAUGCUGGCGGCAUGCCUUACACAUGCAAAUCGAACGGCGGCAUGAUCUAGCUUGCUAGAUUGAUGGCGAGUGGCGAACGGGUGAGUAAUACAUCGGAACGUGCCCUGUAGUGGGGGAUAACUAGUCGAAAGAUUAGCUAAUACCGCAUACGACCUGAGGGUGAAAGUGGGGGACCGCAAGGCCUCAUGCUAUAGGAGCGGCCGAUGUCUGAUUAGCUAGUUGGUGGGGUAAAGGCCCGACCAAGGCGACGAUCAGUAGCUGGUCUGAGAGGACGAUCAGCCACACUGGGACUGAGACACGGCCCAGACUCCUACGGGAGGCAGCAGUGGGGAAUUUUGGACAAUGGGCGAAAGCCUGAUCCAGCAAUGCCGCGUGUGUGAAGAAGGCCUCGGUUGUAAG